Long non-coding RNA from Perognathus longimembris pacificus (Pacific pocket mouse), 2918 nucleotides. RefSeq lists it as uncharacterized. Lineage: Eukaryota; Metazoa; Chordata; Mammalia; Rodentia; Heteromyidae. The transcript is spliced from 4 exons. The record is from RefSeq and is a predicted model, not a curated record.
CUCUCCCUACAAGCUGGGCACACAUCUCCUCAUGGACAGAAAGACACACAGCAUGCUCUCUGCAGUGCCCCAGGGCAGCCUUUGCAUUUCUACUGAAAUUUCAAAGGGAAGAAAUACUUGGUCCCCAUCCUUGUCUCUGGCGCCCCAAAGCCAUCUAUUUUUUCUCUCUUACAACACAUGGUCAAGUGGAAAAGGAACUGACCCGGUGAGGCUCAGGCUACCUCUUGCCUAGUGGUAGGUCCUGGAGGCUCAGAGGCUGCUUAAACCAGGUCACCAACACCCAAAUGCACAGGCAGGAUGAUAAUGGGACGGGCCCACAGAACCUAACCUAUUUUCUACUUGGAGACAAGGGAUACUCUAAACUGGCCUUAAACGGAUUGUGCUCUUGGGGAACCACUGCUUCAAUGAUUAAGAAGGCAUCAAAAGAUACCAGGUAUUAUUGAGGUGCUGAGAACAUAAAUAUGAAAAGCGGACAUGCUCUCCUUUUUCAUGGAACAUAAAGCCUAAUGAAAUACAAGUAAAUUACAAAUGAUAUUAAGUUAGACAUUGUGACAAGCAUUGUAAAGGAAAGAAACACAUGCUCUGGAAGAAAUUAAUGGCGAGACCAACUCUGGCUUGCCUGGAAAGAGCAGGCACCUAUGACCUUCCUUUGUAGGGACAACCUUGAACUACAAGAAGGGUAUGAUCCAGGUGAAGAGAACUAAUGAUACACAGGACAGCAUAGGGGACUGGAGGUGUGCAGAAGCCUCUUUGCCAUGGGGAAGAGCACUCAGGCAUGACAGAAAGGGUGCUGCAAUCUUACAGAAGCAGCCGGAAGAUGGCAGAAGAGUGGUUACCAACUGGGAGGAAAGGAGGAAGGAAUGAGGAGAGACUGGCCAAUGGGUACAAAGAUAGCUGGAAGGGAGCAAUAAUGUCUCUUUUAAAGCACAUUAGAGUGAUAUGGUUAACAAUAUGGUUAACAAUUACACUGGGCACUUCAUCAUAGCUACAAGUUAUUUUUUUAAUGUUCUUACUAUGCAGAAAUGAUAAACACACGAGGGAGUGAAUAUACAGGUUUGAUUAUUAUACAACCUAUACAUAUAUAGAAACAUCACACUGUAUCCUAUAAAUAAGUACAAUCACUAGGAAUUCAUUAGAAACAAAACAACCUUUAAACCCGAGGUCUAGGUCUAGGAACAUGUAAAUCUUGUGGUGCUGUCUCCAGUGGAGGACCCACACGUGUGCAUACACAUAUACACAAUCACAGAAUCAUCUCCCCAGACAUAAGGGGCUUCUAAAGCCCUUUGUGGUACCAUAGGGAUCCAAUUAACCACAGUCUCUCACAAACAUUAAAACACUAGUUAGACAUGAAAAGCACUGCUGUGGCCUAUCAAAGGCAAGCCUGCAGCUGACAGAGCAGCCCGGAAUAAAACAAAGACUCAAAGACAGCAGGUUUGCUUUGGAAGCAAUCGACUUUGUAACCACAGUUUGACCCAGGAUUUUGCAGCUGAGACAAGCAGAGGUUGGGGCAGGGUGAGGGUUACCAGUUAACAAGUGUGUCCUGGAGUGGAUCUUAUCCAAUGUGUGCCUCAAGUCCCCAGCACGGAGCCACUUAAGAGGGAAGCUGUACACGUUACUGCAAGGAGAUACACUGGACAAACAGGGCAGAAAUUUCCUUUCAAGUUUUUUUUUUUUAACAAUUCUGGAAUUCUGACUUCUUUCCAAAUGAAUCCACUUUUGGGUUUUUGUACUUCUAAUUCCUAGCUGCAGUAUUAUUGCUGUUACUCAGCCCUGUUCUAAGGACACAUGUGUUUACUAGGUAGCUUACAGCUGACAGUCCCACUCAGCAUUCUGGUUUCCAAACUCCUUGGCUUUCUCCUAAUCGAAUAUUCUUGAAGGCCUAGCAAUGAGCCUUUAAAAAAACUAGCUGCAGAAUGCAGAGCUGAUUGCAAACUUGUCAGCCACAGUUGCUGUCCCCUCUGCUCUGUGGCAUGGAAGGCAGUGGGGCUGGCUGUGCUGGAUGGCUAGGAAUAGCUUCAACAGUGCCUCAGAGAGGCCAUCAGGACACCACAGAAGGACACAGCUCCACAUCUAGAAACAAGUGUGGGACUGCUUUCCUUUGUGCAUGCAGCUCCUACUGCUGAUGGAGCUCUGGGUGAGAGUGAUAUGGGGGAAGGGGGGACAGUUAGUCUUUCCAUACCCAGAGGUUAGGCAUCUUGUGCUCCAAUUAGCAGACAGACUCCAGAAUGGUGGGUUCUGCUACAAUUGGCACUUUUCUCUCUAACCAUUUGGCCUCAGUUGCUCAACCUGUUUACUGGUUGCUCCAACUCUGCCACGCCCUGUGUCCCAUUUCCUGCCCUCCUCAGAGCCCCCCUUAGCUUCUUUCCUGGGAUGCUUUCUAUCCUGACUGCCAUAGCUCUAGUCUAGACUGAUUGCCUCUCACCUACAUGAGCGCUCGUUUUCCUGUCUCUGGUCUCUGUGAGUAUCCAUUCAUUCUGCUUAGUGUUGCUGUUAAAUAAAUCACAGAUUCAUCAAACCUCUCUACUAACUUAAAAAUAAGGUUGAACUUCCCCAUACACACCUAGAGAUUUCCACUAUUUGGUCUCAGUUUCCCCUACCAGCUUCUCUCCAAUCCCUUUCCUCAUGGCAUACUAAACUUCAGGGGCUGCUCAGGUAACCUAUGAACAAAUCCUCCUUACCAUCAAACCAAGAGCCAGCCCUGUGCCCUCAGCCAGGCCAAGCCACGUAGUUACCAGAACGCACCAGGCUUUGCACACACUGCUGCUUCUACCCGGAGCACUCUGGGCUUCUUCCUCUCAGACAGUGCCCCGCCAGUACCCAUUCACUGUUCCAGGCUCAGCAUGAGCAGUGUUUCUCAAUCCCUCUUGGGCAGUAUGGCCACUCCCACAAUGGUGUCCUUGCGGCACUCAGCGCUCAUU